UGAAUACAAGACGCUAAGGCGUCGAAGUAGUGUAUGACAUACUUCCAAGAAAAGCUUGCACUGUCAUAGAUAAAAAACGCCUGUACCAUAACCGACACAGGUGGGUAGGUAGAGUAUACUAAGGGGCGCGAGAUAACUCUCUCUAAGGAACUCGGCAAAAUAACUCCGUAACUUCGGGAGAAGGAGUGCCUUAUUCGUAAGGUUGCAAUAACAAGAUCCAAGCAACUGUUUAUCAAAAACACAGGUCUCCGCUAAGUCGUAAGACGAUGUAUGGGGGCUGACGCCUGCCCAGUGCCAGAAGGUUAAAGAAGUUGGUUAGCAAUUGCGAAGCUGAUAACUGAAGCCCUGGUGAACGGCGGCCGUAACAAUAACGGUCCUAAGGUAGCGAAAUUCCUUGUCGGGUAAGUUCCGACCCGCACGAAAGGCGUAAUGAUUUGGAUACUGUCUCGGAGAGGGGCUCGGUGAAAUAGACUUGUCUGUGAAGAUGCGGACUACCUGCACCAGGACAGAAAGACCCUAUGAAGCUUUACUGUAACUUGAAAUUGAAAUUGGACUUUAUUCGCGCAGUAUAGGUGGGAGGCGUUGAUUAUAAUCUUGUGGGAUUAUUGGAGCCAUCAGUGAGAUACCACUCUUGUAAUGUUAGAUUUCUAACUUUGAAUCAUUAUCUGGUCAAAGAACAGUUUCAGGCGGGCAGUUUGACUGGGGCGGUCGCCUCCUAAACGGUAACGGAGGCGUACAAAGGUUUCCUCUGAACGGUUAGAAAUCGUAUCUAGAGUGUAAAGGCAUAAGGAAGCUUGACUGUGAGACCUACAAGUCGAGCAGGGACGAAAGUCGGUCUUAGUGAUCUGACGGUACUGAGUGGAAAGGCCGUCACUCAACGGAUAAAAGUUACUCUAGGAUAACAGGCUGAUCUCCCCCAAGAGUUCACAUCGACGGGGAGGUUUGGCACCUCGAUGUCGGCUCAUCGCAUCCUGGGGCGGUAGUACGUCCCAAGGGUUGGGCUGUUCGCCCAUGAAAGCGGUACGCGAGCUGGGUUCAGAACGUCGUGAGACAGUUCGGUCCAUAUCCGGUGUAGGCGUUAGAAUAUUGAGAGGAGCCUUCUUUAGUACGAGAGGACCGAGAAGGACAUACCUCUGGUGUACCAGUUAUCGUGCCAACGGUAAACGCUGGGUAGCUAUGUAUGGAGUGGAUAACCGCUGAAAGCAUCUAAGUGGGAAGCCCACCUCAAGAUAAGUAUUCUCAU
RNAcentral lists this ribosomal RNA (1243 nucleotides) under metagenome. RNAcentral describes it as "bacterial LSU rRNA". It matches the Rfam family "Bacterial large subunit ribosomal RNA", at positions 1564 to 2817 of the family's 2925-position model. The record is from RNAcentral.